RNAcentral lists this long non-coding RNA (1065 nucleotides) under Homo sapiens (human). Its description in RNAcentral is "non-protein coding lnc-PPP1R12B-6:2". The record is from RNAcentral. Lineage: Eukaryota; Metazoa; Chordata; Mammalia; Primates; Hominidae.
AUGACUGACAGGACUCUGGGGGCAUUAGCUCCCUCCAACAAAUGGUGGUCUCACGUUUCAAGGGCUGUGGUCACCUCCUUCCUCGUGACACCCCUGGACAUGGUGGAAGGUCCAUUUGCAGCCUCAGUGCCCGCUGGUGGCCAGUGAGCUGACACCUUCCUCCAGACUUCAGAGCCUCUCUUAUGCCAAGCUGCCCUCCUCUCUCCAAUCCUGUACUACAAUGGUGUCCUGGAGCCUCUGUACCUAUGACCAAAUGGUCCCCGCUGUGCCACCUGGUUUUAAGACCCUACCAGCUUCACUGGCACCUUGGAUGCCUCUGUGAAGAUUCUGAGGCACAAGGGCACCAGGACCCUGUGGAGUGGCCUCCCAGCCACCCUGGUGAUGACUGUGCCAGCUACCACCAACUACUUCACUGCCUACAACCAACUCAAGGCCUGCCUGUGUGGCUGAGCCCUUACCUCUACAUAACCUUGGUAGCUGGUGUGCUGGUCCACCCUGGCACUAUCACUGCAAUCAUCAGUGCCCUGGAGCUUAUGCAGACAAAGCUGCAGGUUUAGCAUAUGUUAUACUAUGUGCUGGUACCUGUGUUUGAGCUCCGGUGGCUUAGAGUGGUUGGUGCUCACUGUGGCUGUGCCGGGGCCCCACUCUCCUUAGAAAUGUGCCCUUCUCAGCCCUGUACUGGUUCAACUACGAGCUAGUGAAGAGCUGGCUGAAUGGGCUCAGGCCAAAGGAACUCCAUGGUCCCAUGACAACCAUAGGAGUCAGCUUUGCAGCUGGCAGCAUCACCAUGAUGCUGGCUACAGUGCUGACCCUAACCUUUGUCGUGAUGAAGACUCAACACCAGGCCACACUCGGAGUGAUGGAAGCCGUGGAAGUGACAUCCCUGGAUGCGGACUCUACCUGGUUGCUCAGAGGUGGAUCUGUGCCAAGUCGGGCAUCAGAGGGCUCUUUGCAGGCUUCCUCCCUUGGAUCAUCAAGUCUAUCCCCUCCUAUGCUAUCACGAUCACCACUUAUGAGUUCAGCAAAAGUCUCUUAAAGAGACUCAAUCAGGACCAGCAUCUGGGC